GGCGUGGUGGCAGAGUGGUUAUCGCGCAAGACUAGAAAUCUUGUUCCUUCGGGAGCGCAGGUUCAAGUCCUGCCCACGUCG
Non-coding RNA from Phaeosphaeriaceae sp. PMI808, 81 nucleotides. NCBI's taxonomy places the organism in Eukaryota, Fungi, Ascomycota, Dothideomycetes, Pleosporales, Phaeosphaeriaceae. The record is from the annotation of a GenBank genome assembly.